Molecule: ribosomal RNA, 332 nt
Filed under: uncultured eukaryote
Lineage: Eukaryota
Description: partial 18S ribosomal RNA
Rfam family: Eukaryotic small subunit ribosomal RNA
Source: RNAcentral
CCCUUAGAUGUUCUGGGCUGCACGCGCGCUACACUGGCAGGUUCAGCGAGCUUCAUGCCCUGAUCUGAAAGGAAUGGGAAAUCUUUUCAAAACCUGCCGUGCUUGGGAUAGAUGUUUGCAAUUAUUCAUCUUCAACGAGGAUUGCCUUGUAAGCGCACGUCAUCAGCGUGCAUUGAAUACGACCCUGUAUUCUGUACACACCGCCCGUCGCUCCUACCGAUUGAAGUUUUCGGUGAGUUGACAGGAGGAUUUUUUUGAAACUGGUUCGCCAGUGGAUUUUAGAUCCAAAUGCCAACGAAUCGAUGGCUUUAGAGGAAGGAGAAGUCGUAACA